AAAAAAUAUAUAAAAGAAAAAAAAUAUAAAUAUAAAUUGAAAAUUUAUGUUUUAAGAUGAUUUGAGUAAAGGAAUACUCAGCAAUGAGAGAGCAAAAUUUAAUUAUUGAAGAGAAUUUUAAAAUCAGUCUUAACGAACAAACUAAGAGAAGAAAAAAAAAAAAGAAAAAGAUUCAGAUUCUGACAAGUCAAAAUCCACCAUUAUGGUACACCAACCAUUGCCUUCCCUAAAGAUAAGUCUCUAAUUAAUAAAAACAUCAAGAGAAAGAAAGAAGAAAAUUCAAAAUCCACCAGCAUCAUCAAACCCUGCAUCAUACCCAGCAUCAUAAGCUCCAGCAUCUGAAACCAUAUCUCCAAUUAAAAGCCCACCAAGUGCUCCUCCGAGCAAGCCUGCUCCCAAUCCCGCUCCCAAUCCCAUCCCAAACUUGUUCUUCUUUGGCGGUUGUUGCACUGGUGGGUACCCGUAUCCUGCCUGCGCUGGUGGGUAACCAUAACCUGCCUGAGGCGCUGGUGGGUAUCCAUAACCAGGCGGUGGUGGUGGGUAACCGUAUCCUGGCUGAGGUGGUGGAGGCGGGUAUCCAGUGUAUGGUGGUGGGGGAGGGGGAUAAGCAUAACCUGCCACAGGUGGUGGAGGGACAGUUGGAUAAGGCCCAGGCCCACCAUAAGGUGUCGAACUAGGACCAACCACAGGAGGAGCAGCAGGAUAUGCCGUGACGGGUUGGUCAGCCUUGUCCCCUACCUUAGGUUCUGAGACGACUUUGUCACCAAACUUAAAAGAAAAGUUCAACUCACCUUUGGGUUUCCCCGAUGGUUUCCUGACCUGAUAACUAACGAAUUGCAUGGACUUCCCAUCUCCCAUGGAAUCAAAGAGCUCCUUGAUAGGGACGUUGACUUCACCAAUAUCUUUAUCGCCUAAGGCACGAUCACAGCGGAGCUUGAAGACAAGGUUUAGGCGGUUCUGCUGCGCAGGGUCCCCAUGGAUUGUGAAUCUGGCAGGGAAAUUCCAGGUGGGAUUGGUACCGCCGUCGCGGUCUACGGGGGUCUUGGUCUUUUGUUUAUGGAGUUGUGAAUCGCCUGAGAUUGAAACGACGGCGUAGACAUCCAUCUUGGAGAAAAGAUUGACAUCUUUGAGAUCUUUAGCAGAGAUCACGUUGAUCUCAAGAGUCCUUUGCUCCAUGAACGGGCUGCGAAUGGGAGAGGGAGAGGGAGAGGGAGAA
RNAcentral lists this unclassified non-coding RNA (1216 nucleotides) under Hevea brasiliensis (rubber tree). Lineage: Eukaryota; Viridiplantae; Streptophyta; Magnoliopsida; Malpighiales; Euphorbiaceae. The record is from RNAcentral.